GAGGGUAUAGCUCAAGUGGUAGAGCACAUGCUUAGCAUUCAUGAGGUCGUGGGUUCAAUCCCCAGUACCUCCU
Molecule: transfer RNA, 73 nt
Filed under: Camelus dromedarius (Arabian camel)
Lineage: Eukaryota; Metazoa; Chordata; Mammalia; Artiodactyla; Camelidae
Also listed under: 1 other name
Rfam family: tRNA
About the family: Transfer RNA (tRNA) molecules are approximately 80 nucleotides in length. Their secondary structure includes four short double-helical elements and three loops (D, anti-codon, and T loops). Further hydrogen bonds mediate the characteristic L-shaped molecular structure. tRNAs have two regions of fundamental functional importance: the anti-codon, which is responsible for specific mRNA codon recognition, and the 3' end, to which the tRNAs corresponding amino acid is attached (by aminoacyl-tRNA synthetases). tRNAs cope with the degeneracy of the genetic code in two manners: having more than one tRNA (with a specific anti-codon) for a particular amino acid; and 'wobble' base-pairing, i.e. permitting non-standard base-pairing at the 3rd anti-codon position.
Source: Rfam by way of RNAcentral